RNAcentral lists this ribosomal RNA (253 nucleotides) under uncultured bacterium. RNAcentral describes it as "partial 16S ribosomal RNA". It matches the Rfam family "Bacterial small subunit ribosomal RNA", at positions 524 to 776 of the family's 1533-position model. The record is from RNAcentral.
UACGAGGGGUGCAAGCGUUGCUCGGAAUUAUUGGGCGUAAAGGGUAGGUAGGUGGUCUCAUUUGUCUGGGGUGAAAUCCUUGAGCUUAACUCAAGAACUGCCCCAGAAACGGUGAGACUCGAGUACUGGAGAGGGUCGUGGAAUUCCCGGUGUAGCGGUGAAAUGCGUAGAUAUCUGGAGGAACACCGGUGGCGAAGGCAGGUCUCUGGGCUAUAACUGACGCUCAUGCACGAAAGCGUGGGGAGCAAACAGG